RNAcentral lists this unclassified non-coding RNA (372 nucleotides) under uncultured Gammaproteobacteria bacterium. Its description in RNAcentral is "contains 16S-23S intergenic spacer region". Lineage: Bacteria; Pseudomonadati; Pseudomonadota; Gammaproteobacteria. The record is from RNAcentral.
UCCGGUUUGUCACCGGCAGUCUCAUUAGAGUGCCCUUUCGUAGCAACUAAUGACAAGGGUUGCGCUCGUUGCGGGACUUAACCCAACAUCUCACGACACGAGCUGACGACAGCCAUGCAGCACCUGUGUGCAGGUUCCCUUUCGGGCACCCCCCGAUCUCUCGGGGGUUCCUGCCAUGUCAAGGGUAGGUAAGGUUUUUCGCGUUGCAUCGAAUUAAUCCACAUCAUCCACCGCUUGUGCGGGUCCCCGUCAAUUCCUUUGAGUUUUAAUCUUGCGACCGUACUCCCCAGGCGGUCAACUUCACGCGUUAGCUGCGUUACCAAGUCAAUCAAGACCCGACAACUAGUUGACAUCGUUUAGGGCGUGGACUAC